CGGAGUGUAGCGCAGCCCGGUUAGCGCACCUGCUUUGGGAGCAGGGGGUCGGGAGUUCAAAUCUCUCCACUCCGA
RNAcentral lists this transfer RNA (75 nucleotides) under Fidelibacterota bacterium. Its description in RNAcentral is "tRNA-Pro". It matches the Rfam family "tRNA". From Rfam's summary of the family: Transfer RNA (tRNA) molecules are approximately 80 nucleotides in length. Their secondary structure includes four short double-helical elements and three loops (D, anti-codon, and T loops). Further hydrogen bonds mediate the characteristic L-shaped molecular structure. tRNAs have two regions of fundamental functional importance: the anti-codon, which is responsible for specific mRNA codon recognition, and the 3' end, to which the tRNAs corresponding amino acid is attached (by aminoacyl-tRNA synthetases). tRNAs cope with the degeneracy of the genetic code in two manners: having more than one tRNA (with a specific anti-codon) for a particular amino acid; and 'wobble' base-pairing, i.e. permitting non-standard base-pairing at the 3rd anti-codon position. The record is from RNAcentral. Lineage: Bacteria; Pseudomonadati; Fidelibacterota.